This is a long non-coding RNA of Neofelis nebulosa (Clouded leopard), 544 nucleotides long. RefSeq lists it as uncharacterized. NCBI's taxonomy places the organism in Eukaryota, Metazoa, Chordata, Mammalia, Carnivora, Felidae. The record is from RefSeq and is a predicted model, not a curated record. The transcript is spliced from 2 exons.
GGCCCCCAGGUAGUACCCCAGGGCCGGAGAUCCUCACGACCCCCUCAGGAAGGCCGCGUGGGGAGAAGCUGCCCGGGUGGGCGUCCACUCCCCGCUCUUCCAUAGCGAUGCUGCGGUAAUAGGAGGGCUUGUGGGACAGAGGCGGCACCUGGAAGCUUCCUGGGGCUGAGGCCUGGGGAGGCUGCGAGCCCCGCUCUGGCCCCUCCCUGUUUUUCUCUAGUAGCUCGUUCUUCUUCCGGAAGGAUCAAAGCCCGGACAGAAGGGUUUUGUAUACACUGGGGCUCCAUGCUGGGUGUGGACUUGGGACUUGAACACACCACCCAACACAGAACUUGGACUUGACCUCAUCAAGAUUGGGAUGCUUAACUGACCAGCCACCCAGGAACCCCUGCAUAAUGCUUUUAAAAGUUCAUGUUGUAACACGUGUCAGAACAUAAUUCCUUUUCCAUUUUAUUGUAUUUUAUUUACUUUAAAUUGUGACAUAGCACACAUAAAAUUUACCAUCUUAAAAGUUGUAAGUACAUUAGCACUGUUGUGCACUCAA